Long non-coding RNA from Papaver somniferum (opium poppy), 666 nucleotides. RefSeq lists it as uncharacterized. The transcript is spliced from 3 exons. The record is from RefSeq and is a predicted model, not a curated record. NCBI's taxonomy places the organism in Eukaryota, Viridiplantae, Streptophyta, Magnoliopsida, Ranunculales, Papaveraceae.
UGUAUAUUAGGUUCACUGAUGAGAUUGUAGCUUUGGAAUUAGGUUCAAUUUAUGUUAAAUUGUAUGCUCAUUAUUUCCAAAUCAUUCUUUUUAAGAGAUAUAGGCAUGCAUGACAAGAAAUGGUUUUUAAAACUUCAAAGUUUUUUCCUUUUUGAUUUGUAACAGGCUUGGGGAUUCAAUAUAUUCUUAUAUUUUUGUGUGAUGACAAUAAGGAAGAUGAACGGGUUUGAACAUGAGAUGUCUACACCAAAAAAGAAUAAUUCAUCAAGUACCAGCAAGCAUGGUACACAUGGUUACCAAAACGAGCAACGGACGUAACUAAAGAGCUAGAUGUAUUAGUAGAGAAUAUUGACAAGGAUACCGAAUCUGUUAUUCUGGGUUCUGGGAAGUCAUGGGUUCAGGAAGGUGUUGUGUUAAUUCAAGCAGUGAACUACUUCAAAUAUAUUGGUGAUGCUAAGGGGUGGCGCAAAGUCCAGACAAGGAAGCUAUGGACAUAUGUCAUUUCAUGUAUUAUCAUAAUCUUUCAGCGGUCACUUCAAGCAUACGUUUUUACAGAAAAACUUGGUUGCAUAAUCCUUACCUCUAUUGAGUUUGAAUACGACCAUUACUCCUCUAGGAACUAAAUUAAGAAUUACAAUUGAGAUUUUUAAAGUUGUUUUUUGCUAA